CCUACGGGAGGCAGCAGUGAGGAAUAUUGGUCAAUGGGCGUAAGCCUGAACCAGCCAAGUCGCGUGAGGGAUGAAGGUUCUAUGGAUCGUAAACCUCUUUUAUAAGGGAAUAAAGUGCGGGACGUGUCCCGUUUUGUAUGUACCAUAUGAAUAAGGAUCGGCUAACUCCGUGCCAGCAGCCGCGGUAAUACGGAGGAUCCGAGCGUUAUCCGGAUUUAUUGGGUUUAAAGGGAGCGUAGGUGGAUUGUUAAGUCAGUUGUGAAAGUUUGCGGCUCAACCGUAAAAUUGCAGUUGAAACUGGCAGUCUUGAGUACAGUAGAGGUGGGCGGAAUUCGUGGUGUAGCGGUGAAAUGCAUAGAUAUCACGCAGAACUCCGAUUGCGAAGGCAGCAUACCGGCGCCCAACUGACGCUGAAGCACGAAAGCGUGGGUAUCGAACAGGAUUAGAUACCCUUGUAGUC
Molecule: ribosomal RNA, 460 nt
Filed under: uncultured bacterium
Lineage: Bacteria
Description: partial 16S ribosomal RNA
Rfam family: Bacterial small subunit ribosomal RNA
Source: RNAcentral